CAGCAGCCACGGUAAUACGGAGGGUGCAAGCGUUAAUCGGAAUUACUGGGCGUAAAGCGUGCGUAGGUGGUGGUUUAAGUCCGUUGUGAAAGCCCUGGGCUCAACCUGGGAAUUGCAGUGGAUACUGGGUCACUAGAGUGUGGUGGAGGAUAGUGGAAUUUCCGGUGUAGCAGUGAAAUGCGUAGAGAUCGGAAGGAACAUCUGUGGCGAAGGCGACUAUCUGGGCCAACACUGACACUGAGGCACGAAAGCGUGGGGAGCAAACAGGAUUAGAUACCCCAGUAGUCCCUGUCUCUUAUAC
RNAcentral lists this ribosomal RNA (301 nucleotides) under uncultured bacterium. RNAcentral's name for it is "partial 16S ribosomal RNA". It matches the Rfam family "Bacterial small subunit ribosomal RNA", at positions 509 to 807 of the family's 1533-position model. The record is from RNAcentral.